Molecule: ribosomal RNA, 934 nt
Filed under: Geoglobus sp. SN4
Lineage: Archaea; Methanobacteriati; Methanobacteriota; Archaeoglobi; Archaeoglobales; Archaeoglobaceae
Description: bacterial SSU rRNA
Rfam family: Archaeal small subunit ribosomal RNA
Source: RNAcentral
UUCCGGUUGAUCCUGCCGGAAGCCGCUGCUAUCCGGCUGGGACUAAGCCAUGCGAGUCAAGGGGCUUGCAUCCCCUCGGGGAUGCAAGCACCGGCGGACGGCUCAGUAACACGUGGACAACCUGCCCUCGGGUGGGGGAUAACCCCGGGAAACUGGGGCUAAUCCCCCAUAGGUGAUAGGUGCUGGAAUGCCCUAUCACCGAAAGCGCUUAGCGCCCGAGGAUGGGUCUGCGGCGGAUUAGGUAGUUGGCGGGGUAACGGCCCGCCAAGCCGAAGAUCCGUACGGGCCAUGAGAGUGGGAGCCCGGAGAUGGACCCUGAGACACGGGUCCAGGCCCUACGGGGCGCAGCAGGCGCGAAACCUCCGCAAUGCGGGAAACCGCGACGGGGCUAGCCGGAGUGCCGAUGCCUCGCAUCGGCUGUCGGGGAGCCUAAAAAGCUCCCCACAGCAAGGGCCGGGCAAGGCCGGUGGCAGCCGCCGCGGUAAUACCGGCGGCCCGAGUGGCGGCCACUAUUAUUGGGCCUAAAGCGUCCGUAGCCGGUCUGGCAAGUCCCCCGGGAAAUCUGGUCGCUCAACGAUCAGGCUUCCGGGGGAGACUGCCAGACUAGGGACCGGGAGAGGCCGGGGGUAUUCCCGGGGUAGGGGUGAAAUCCUGUAAUCCCGGGAGGACCACCUGUGGCGAAGGCGCCCGGCUGGAACGGGUCCGACGGUGAGGGACGAAGGCCUGGGGAGCGAACCGGAUUAGAUACCCGGGUAGUCCAGGCUGUAAACGAUGCGGGCUAGGUGUCGCGAUAGCCACGAGCUAUCGCGGUGCCGGAGGGAAGCCGUUAAGCCCGCCGCCUGGGAAGUACGGCCGCAAGGCUGAAACUUAAAGGAAUUGGCGGGGGAGCACUACAACGGGUGGAGCCUGCGGUUUAAUUGGAUUCAACGCCGGA